This 443-nucleotide ribosomal RNA is filed under the name uncultured bacterium. RNAcentral describes it as "bacterial SSU rRNA". It matches the Rfam family "Bacterial small subunit ribosomal RNA", at positions 355 to 821 of the family's 1533-position model. The record is from RNAcentral.
UCGGGAAUUUUGGGCAAUGGGCGAAAGCCUGACCCAGCAACGCCGCGUGAACGAUGAAGGCCUUAGGGUUGUAAAGUUCUUUUGUCAGGGAAGAUAAUGACGGUACCUGAAGAAUAAGCACCGGCUAACUUCGUGCCAGCAGCCGCGGUAAUACGAAGGGUGCUAGCGUUGUUCGGAAUCACUGGGCGUAAAGCGCGCGUAGGCGGCUUAACAAGUCAGAGGUGAAAGCCUGGAGCUCAACUCCAGAACUGCCUUUGAAACUGUUAAGCUUGAGUGUCGGAGGGGAUAGCGGAAUUUCUAAUGUAGAGGUGAAAUUCGUAGAUAUUAGAAGGAACACCGGUGGCGAAGGCGGCUAUCUGGACGACAACUGACGCUGAGGCGCGAAAGCGUGGGGAUCAAACAGGAUUAGAUACCCCCGUAGUCCCUGAGCGGGCUGGCAAGGC